Long non-coding RNA from Marmota monax (woodchuck), 413 nucleotides. RefSeq lists it as uncharacterized. The record is from RefSeq and is a predicted model, not a curated record. NCBI's taxonomy places the organism in Eukaryota, Metazoa, Chordata, Mammalia, Rodentia, Sciuridae. The transcript has 3 exons.
AAAGAAAGAAAGAAAGAAAGAAAGAAAGAAAGAAAGAAAGAAAGAAAGAAAGAAAGAAAAGAAAAGAAAGAAAAAGAAUGGUCCAUUUCCUUUACCUAAAACCUCAUAGAAGCUUUUGGAAAAAUUCUCCUCACUGAAGACAACAACAAAAACAGGAUCCAAAAAAUAAUAUCACAACAAGAGGACAUUCUCAGAUCCUUUUCCCAAGCCCUCCCUGUUCAUCUUCAAGUGAUCAAUGACCUGUCAAGUUCUUGUUAUGCUUCAAACCCCUCUGCUACCAGCUGGAGAAAAACCUCUGCUCUUGAAGGGCUUGUGUGAUUAGACAUUUCAAGUGAAAGCUGGGUGUGGUUGUAUAUGCCUAUAAUCCUUGGACUGGAGGCUGAGGCAAGAGGAUCCAGAUCAGAAAUUCAAGG